This is a long non-coding RNA of Mytilus californianus (California mussel), 1618 nucleotides long. RefSeq lists it as uncharacterized. NCBI's taxonomy places the organism in Eukaryota, Metazoa, Mollusca, Bivalvia, Mytilida, Mytilidae. The transcript is spliced from 2 exons. The record is from RefSeq and is a predicted model, not a curated record.
AAGUUAUAUAACUUUAUUACUCUGGCAUAUGAUCAAUCAAUUUAUUUUUGUUAUAAAAUAAUGAAAAUGACUGAUUGAUAAUUGCCUGACAUCCUGUUGUAAGGAUGUCAGUCAUGCAUAUGUAGGAAGAUAACGUGUUAAUAUCAUAAGAAUACAUUUAACUAGAGAAAGACGAUGACUGAAUUUGAUUUUUAACACUUGCUUUAUCACGGUAACAGUUCACUGGAAUAUUUUUACCCUACACUUCCCGACGUCAGGACAUAGCUCAUAUGGUCAUGUAUGGUGUAUAUUCAGGACAGCAUCAUAUUAAUAUACCUAACUUUGUACUAGACUCACAGCUUCCUGUGGAGUUUUAACGUGUUUGAUAACUAGGUGACAGUUCACGGGAAAAUAUUGGAACCUACCUGGACACAUUAUUCUUACUCUAAACUAUCCAAAUUUUGCUGUAACUGUUACGAACGUUCUAAAUUAAUCCAUCAGCAAGAGAUUCCGUAAGAUGGACAUUAAACGUGUCAGUGUGUAAGAAUUUGUACUGAUAUAACUGUGUUCUGACUUAUAGUAUAAUUAAGUUGAAAUUAGAUCAAGUCAUAACAAGAAGGGGAAUGAAAGAACAACAGAUUUAAAAUGUUCAUCUUUUCAUCAAUCAUCUCGUCCAGAAGCGUCUUUCAAUGUUUUCAACUGUCCGGCAUUGCUUUGACUCUGGUUUUUGGAAUACUGAUACUGAUAACACUUCCGAUGAAAUUUUUAAAGCAUAAUCACAAACUUUCAAACAGUCUUUUUCUUGUUUUGUUAAUCGGAUUUUUUCAUGAAAGCUUUGCGGCCAUGACUACCUGGCUUAAAUCAACAUAUCAUUUAUAUAGCAUAAGUCCUUUUGUGUUAGAUAGCUACACAUUCCCCGUCGUUUGUUUUAUAUUUACAUUUGGUGUAUUGUGUAUGACAAAAUGUUCAAAAGAGGAAUUACGAACAAGUACAUUUGUAUAUGGAGUUUACAUAUUUAUUGUUUUGCUACUAAUUUUGGGAAUUGGAGUUGUUAACAGCUUUAGCAACCAACAUGCACAUCACAUUGUGAAGUUCCACAAACAUUACUUUUUCUUUACUGAUUACAAAGUAAAACGAAACGGUUGGUCAUUAGACAAGAUGCUUACAGAACUAGUAUCUGUGUUGACAUAUAACAGUUCGUUUUUUUGUUAUGUGUUGGAAUAUGUUUUAGUCUAUGCUCCUGCCACUUUUAUCCUGCUGUGGAACGUAAAGAAAUUGGUGUCAACAGGUCAACAAGGCGAGCAUAACAAGCAGUACUGUAUGACGUGUGACAAUAAUAGUAUGGUACAGCGAUACAUCUUAAUGUUUAUGUUGUUUGUGAUUUGGAUCGUGAGACCAAUUUGUUGGAUUAUCAACUUCAGUUUCACUUUUUUGUCACAAGAUAUAGUUCCAAGCGUUACAAUGUACAUUGUGUAUAUUUUUAUGCUUUGGUAUUUUCUACAACAAGGAUUUUUUUAAGAAAGAUUCCAUUCAUCAAAGCUAUAAACACAUAUUAAAUGACUUUCUUUGAUCCGAAAAGCAAGAAACCCUAAUGUUUAUGUCAACCUAUCAAUUAUAUAUUAAAAUGAAAGAAAAAGCA